This 480-nucleotide ribosomal RNA is filed under the name uncultured bacterium. RNAcentral describes it as "bacterial SSU rRNA". It matches the Rfam family "Bacterial small subunit ribosomal RNA", at positions 15 to 507 of the family's 1533-position model. The record is from RNAcentral.
GAUCCUGGCUCAGGAUAAACGCUGGCGGCGCACAUAAGACAUGCAAGUCGAACGGACUUAACCAUUAGUUUACUGAUGGAGCGGUUAGUGGCGGACUGGUGAGUAACACGUAAGCAAUCUGCCUAUCAGAGGGGAACAACAGUUAGAAAUGACUGCUAAUACCGCAUAUGCCUAAGCAACACAUGUUGCAAUAGGGAAAGGAGCAAUCCGCUGAAAGAUGGUCUCGCGUCUGAUUAGCUAGUUGGUGAGGUAACGGCUCACCAAGGCGACGAUCAGUAGCCGGUCUGAGAGGUUGAACGGCCACAUUGGGACUGAGAUACGGCCCAGACUCCUACGGGAGGCAGCAGUGGGGAAUAUUGGGCAAUGGGCGCAAGCCUGACCCAGCAAUGCCGCGUGAAGGAAGACGGUUUCGGAUUGUAAACUUCUUUAAGAGGGACGAUAAUGACGGUACCUCUUGAAUAAGCCACGGCUAACUACGUG